GACCAGGAGGUUGGCUUAGAAGCAGCCACCCUUUAAAAAGUGCGUAACAGCUUACUGGUCUAGUGACUUCGCGCGGAAAACUUAACGGGGCUAAGCAUAGUACCGAAGCCAUGGGUCUCAACAUUUGUUGGGGCAGUAGGGGAGCGUUCUGUCAGCGGUGAAGGUCGAUCGUAAGGGCGACUGGAGCGGACAGAAGUGAGAAUGCAGGCAUGAGUAGCGUACAAAUAUGUGAGAACCAUAUUCGCCGUAUAUCUAAGGUUUCCGACGCCAGGUCAUUCCGCGUCGGGUUAGUCGAGUCCUUAGUCGAGGCCGAGAGGCGUAGGCGAUGGACAUCCGGUCAACAUUCCGGAACCGCUAGAAAGUGCGAUGGGAGGACGCAACGAGGUAGGCCAGCCCAUUAUUGGAUUUGGGUGCGAUCCAUCUAGGCGUUGAGACUGGUAGGUAAAUCCGCCGGUUGAGCUGAGGUGAGAGCGAGCCGUAAGGCAUAAGUGGUUGAGCCUUGUUGCCAAGAAAAGUCUCUAAGCAUAACUUUCUAGUGCUCGUACCGCAAACCGACACUGGUAGAUGGGUAGAGUAUACCAAGGCGAACGGGAGAACUCUCGUUAAGGAAUUAGGCAACAUGACCCCGUAACUUCGGGAGAAGGGGUACCCUCCUUUGUGUUAAAGCUUCGGAGGGUCGCAGUGAAAUGGCUCUGGUGACUGGUUAACAAAACCACAGGUCUCUGCUAAGCCGUAAGGCGAUGUAUAGGGGCUGACGCGUGCCCAGUGCCGGAAGGUUAAAGGGAGAGGUUAGCGCAAGCGAAGCUUUGAACUGAAGCCCCGGUGAACGGCGGCCGUAACUAUAACGGUCCUAAGGUAGCGAAAUUCCUUGUCGGGUAAGUUCCGACCCGCACGAACCGCGUAACAAUUAGAGCACUGUCUCGACGAGAGACCCGGUGAAAUUGAAAUGGCUGUGAAGAUGCGGCCUACCCGCAGUAGGACAAAAAGACCCCGUGGAGCUUUACUGCAACUUGGCAUUGUAUUUGGAUAUGAUCUGUGUAGGAUAGGUGGGAGGCUUUGAAGCUGGCGCGCUAGCGUCGGUGGAGCCAAUGGUGAAAUACCACCCUGAUCAUGUUUAGAUCCUAACCCCAUUCCGUCAUCCGGAUGGGGGACCGUGCCAGGUGGGCAGUUUGACUGGGGCGGUCGCCUCCUAAAAGGUAACGGAGGCGCCCAAAGGUUCCCUCAGGUGGAAUGGAAACCCACCAUAGAGUGUAAAGGCAUAAGGGAGCUUGACUGUAAGGCCAACGCGCCGAACAGAGACGAAAGUCGGGCUUAGUGAUCCCACAGUACCGAGUGGAAGGGCUGUGGCUUACCGGAUAAAAGCUACCCCGGGGAUAACAGGCUGGUGAGAUCCAA
RNAcentral lists this ribosomal RNA (1395 nucleotides) under metagenome. RNAcentral describes it as "bacterial LSU rRNA". It matches the Rfam family "Bacterial large subunit ribosomal RNA", at positions 1091 to 2495 of the family's 2925-position model. The record is from RNAcentral.